This 778-nucleotide ribosomal RNA is filed under the name uncultured Neocallimastigales. Its description in RNAcentral is "partial large subunit ribosomal RNA". It matches the Rfam family "Eukaryotic large subunit ribosomal RNA", at positions 23 to 646 of the family's 3401-position model. The record is from RNAcentral. Lineage: Eukaryota; Fungi; Neocallimastigomycota; Neocallimastigomycetes; Neocallimastigales.
AGAGAGAGACAUGCGCGCAUAUCAAUAAGCGGAGGAAAAGAAACUAACUAGGAUUCCCUCAGUAACGGCGAGUGAAGCGGGAGGAGCUCAAAUUUGAAAUCUUCAAGGUUCUACCUUGACGAAUUGUAGUUUAAAGAAGUGUUUUCUGUUGGAAGUUUUGGUAAAAGUUCUUUGGAAUAGGACAUCAUAGAGGGUGAGAAUCCCGUAUUUGACCAUUAUUUUCCAGCUGUGUGAUACACUUUCAAAGAGUCGGAUUGUUUGGGAAUGCAGUCCAAAAUGGGUGGUAAAUUUCAUCUAAAGCUAAAUAUUGGCGAGAGGACCGAUAGCGAACAAGUACCGUGAGGGAAAGAUGAAAAGAACUUUGAAAAGAGAGUUAAACAGUACGUGAAAUUGUCAAAAGGGAAGCGUUUGACACCAGUGUUGUUUUCUCGAAAAUCAAUUAAAAAAGGCAGGAUUUUGUGUUGUAUUGACUUUAUCAGCUUUCUGCACUCUUUUCUUGUCUUUUUUUAAUGCACUUUUCGUUUAACAAGUCAACAUCAAUUUCUUUUGUUGUAAAAGGGUCAUUGGAAGGUGGCUUUCUUUUCGGAGAAAGUGUUUAUAGCCUUUGGCCUCUGCAAUCGGAGAGAUUGAGGUCUGCAGCGUAGAUCCUUCGGGGUUAGAUACAUUUGUGCUAAGUUAUAGCCUUUCAUAGACAACUUGUUGACUAUGAUCAGUCAUGUAGCUUACUCGCUUAUGCUAUUUUACCUACGCUUAGGAUGUUGAUGUGAUACUGCGAGCA